This 253-nucleotide ribosomal RNA is filed under the name uncultured bacterium. RNAcentral describes it as "partial 16S ribosomal RNA". It matches the Rfam family "Bacterial small subunit ribosomal RNA", at positions 524 to 776 of the family's 1533-position model. The record is from RNAcentral.
UACGAAGGGGACUAGCGUUGUUCGGAAUUACUGGGCGUAAAGCGCACGUAGGCGGAUUUGUAAGUCAGGGGUGAAAUCCCGGGGCUCAACCUCGGAACUGCCUUUGAUACUGCAAAUCUCGAGUCCGAUAGAGGUGGGUGGAAUUCCUAGUGUAGAGGUGAAAUUCGUAGAUAUUAGGAAGAACACCAGUGGCGAAGGCGGCGAUCUGGGAAGAUACUGACGCUGAGGUGCGAAAGCGUGGGGAGCAAACAGG